UCCGUGUGCGUCGUCGCGAGUCACGAGAGGUUGAUUAUGGCUCAGGAUUAACGCUGGCGGCGUGCCUAAUACAUGCAAGUCGAAUGGUAGCAAUACCAUGGCGAACGGGUGAGUAACACGUAGGUAACCUGUCUUUAAGCCGAGGAUAACCAUUGGAAACGAUGGAUAAUACUGGAUAGGACAUAUGAAGGCAUCUUUAGAUGUUUAAAGAUUUAUCACUUAGAGAGGGGCCUGCGGCGCAUUAGCUAGUUGGUGAGGUGAAGGCUUACCAAGGCGAUGAUGCGUAGCCGGACUGAGAGGUUGAACGGCCACAAUGGAACUGAGAACGGUCCAUACUCCUACGGGAGGCAGCAGUAGGGAAUUUUCGGCAAUGGGCGGAAGCCUGACCGAGCAACGCCGCGUGAACGAAGAAGUAUUUCGGUAUGUAAAGUUCUUUUAUUAGGGACGAAAAGACAGAUUGACGGUACCUAAUGAAUAAGCUCCGGCUAACUACGUGCCAGCAGCCGC
Molecule: ribosomal RNA, 507 nt
Filed under: uncultured bacterium
Lineage: Bacteria
Description: bacterial SSU rRNA
Rfam family: Bacterial small subunit ribosomal RNA
Source: RNAcentral